CGUAGGUGGCAAGCGUUGUCCGGAUUUAUUGGGUUUAAGGGUGCGUAGGCGGUCCUAUAAGUCAGUGCUGAAAUAUCACAGCUUAACUGUGAGGGUGGCAUUGAUACUGCAGGACUUGAGUAAAGUUGAGGUAGGCGGAAUUGACGGUGUAGCGGUGAAAUGCUUAGAUAUCGUCAAGAACACCGAUAGUGUAGACAGCUUACUAAGCUUUAACUGACGCUGAGGCACGAAAGUGUGGGGAUCAAACAGGAUUAGAUACCCUGGUAGUCCACACUGUAAACGUUGAAGACUCGCUGUUGGCGAUACACAGUCAGCGGCUGAGAGAAAUCGUUAAGUCUUCCACCUGGGGAGUACGCCGGCAACGGUG
Molecule: ribosomal RNA, 367 nt
Filed under: uncultured organism
Description: bacterial SSU rRNA
Rfam family: Bacterial small subunit ribosomal RNA
Source: RNAcentral